UUUCCUACGGGGCGCAGCAGUGGGGAAUAUUGGGCAAUGGGCGCAAGCCUGACCCAGCAACGCCGCGUGAAGGAAGAAGGCUUUCGGGUUGUAAACUUCUUUUGUCAGGGACGAAGCAAGUGACGGUACCUGACGAAUAAGCCACGGCUAACUACGUGCCAGCAGCCGCGGUAAUACGUAGGUGGCAAGCGUUAUCCGGAUUUAUUGGGUGUAAAGGGCGUGUAGGCGGGAAUGCAAGUCAGAUGUGAAAACUUUGGUCUGAACCCAUAACCUGCAUUUGAAAAUGUAUUUAUUGCGUGCUGGAG
RNAcentral lists this ribosomal RNA (305 nucleotides) under uncultured bacterium. Its description in RNAcentral is "bacterial SSU rRNA". It matches the Rfam family "Bacterial small subunit ribosomal RNA", at positions 335 to 654 of the family's 1533-position model. The record is from RNAcentral.